AACACAGAUAAAUGCUUAACUUACUAAUUUAAGAAGACAUACCUUGAGGUUGAUUACCAGGAGAGCACAGAAGAAUGCCAAGAUUCGAAUCAACAGAGGCAGAAGCCAUUGAAACUUCCGAAGACAGAAGUAGUGAUCUGAGCUUCACUUGACUAUUGUAUCCCUGGCGUCU
RNAcentral lists this long non-coding RNA (172 nucleotides) under Mustela putorius furo (domestic ferret). RNAcentral describes it as "lncRNA (ENSMPUG00000027109.1)". Lineage: Eukaryota; Metazoa; Chordata; Mammalia; Carnivora; Mustelidae. The record is from RNAcentral.